AGCUGCUCAGCGGGCACAAAGCGAACUAUUCUUUCGCCUUUUACUAAAGAAUACCGUGUGCACACUGCAAUACGCAGCAUACGCUAAUUUUUUUUAAGGGAUCCUUCUUACCAGGAGGGC
Non-coding RNA from Triticum aestivum (bread wheat), 120 nucleotides. NCBI's taxonomy places the organism in Eukaryota, Viridiplantae, Streptophyta, Magnoliopsida, Poales, Poaceae. The record is from Rfam.